This 477-nucleotide ribosomal RNA is filed under the name Acidobacteria bacterium REF-12. RNAcentral's name for it is "bacterial SSU rRNA". It matches the Rfam family "Bacterial small subunit ribosomal RNA", at positions 32 to 489 of the family's 1533-position model. The record is from RNAcentral. Lineage: Bacteria; Pseudomonadati; Acidobacteriota.
AACGCUGGCGGCGUGCCUAACACAUGCAAGUCGAACGCGAAAGGGGCUUCGGCCCUGAGUAGAGUGGCGAACGGGUGAGUAACACGUGGGUGAUCUACCUUGGGUUGGGGGAUAACGUCCGGAAAGGGACGCUAAUACCGCAUGACGUUCUGGGUUUAAAGACCUGGAAACCAAAGCCGGGGACCGCAAGGCCUGGCGCUUGAAGAGGAGCCGGCGUCCGAUUAGCUAGUUGGCGGGGUAAGGGCCCACCAAGGCGACGAUCGGUAGCCGGCUUGAGAGGGCGGACGGCCACACUGGAAUUGAGACACGGUCCAGAUUCUUACGGGAGGCACCAGUGGGGAAUUGUUCCCAAUGGGCGCAAGCCUGAUGACGCAACGCGGCGUGGGGGAUGAAGGUCUUCGGAUCGUAAACCCCUGUCGAAUGGGACGAAAGACCCGGGAGCUAAUCAUCCCGGGAGUGACGGUACCGUUAAAGGAA